UGCUCUCCCUUUCCCGCUCUUUGUCUUUCCUCUCUCUGCCAUCGUAGUGGCUUAGCCCUAUUAAUCGAGCCCUAAUCUCAGCCUCUCUCAUUCUCAUUUCUCACUUAGCACUACCACCACUGUUCAUUGAUCUGGCCACCCAUUCAUAGCCCUCGACCGCUCCGACCACCCAUUCAGCAUUGUCUAAGCAGUUGUCUUGUCAUUUACUCACUGUUAAGGACUGGAGUUCAGCAGAUGAUAGCGAUUCCAGGUCUACCAACAUUUGGUUUAGAACAGGAAGAUCGAUUCCAGACGUGAUUUGCUCAACAUUUCGCCUACUCUAACCGAGGCCGUUGGUGCCAUUGUUGAUGAAACCAAAAUCUGAAUGCAAAUGGCCAAUGUACGUGGUGUUUAGUUUCCAAGUUCCAACCGUUUCCCAUUAGAGAAGACUCCCCAAUGCCAAAAGUUGUUCCAUCAAAACUCAAAAGCAACAUUGCUUCAUGCAAUUCCUCCUGGGCAUUUAGUUAGUGUUAGAGCAUCUACCUCAAUUAUCUGGAUUGGAGCAAUUGAAUUUCUAGGAGCAUGGGGCUCAGGUUAGAUUUUGUUGUUAUAAAAUUCAAAGAAUUGCUUCAUGAGGCCUGAAUCUACAUCCUACAAUUCAAGAGAUGGUUGUAUAGAUUGUCUAUUAUAGGGUGGCAGGAAAGAAUUAAAGUUAGAGACAAAGGAGGCGGUGCUAACUGGCACUUUUGAUUGAUGUAUGAUUGAGACCCCAAACUCAUUGUGUGGUUUCCCUUCCUGAAACAGAGUGUGAAAGCUCCGACUAAGACUUAAGGGAGUGGUGCUGCUCUGCCUCACUACUUUCACUCACUUAUCGCUCAGGCACUCGGGUCAAAUCAAAGUAGCCUUCUCUCCCAGAACCCCUGAUUUGGUUAAACAUGCUAAAGGAGAUAACUUCACAUGUGCGGCUGACCACCAAUUUGAUCGAAUUUUACACGUCAAGUUUUUUUUUUUUUGGGGGGGGGGGAUUGAGUUUCAUGUAUUCAAGAACCUUGAACUUGUAAUAGAAAUCACAUUUUUUUCA
Molecule: non-coding RNA, 1060 nt
Organism: Nelumbo nucifera (sacred lotus)
Lineage: Eukaryota; Viridiplantae; Streptophyta; Magnoliopsida; Proteales; Nelumbonaceae
Source: RefSeq, a predicted model, not a curated record